AUUGAACGCUGGCGGCAGGCCUAACACAUGCAAGUCGAGCGGAUGAAGGGAGCUUGCUCCUGGAUUCAGCGGCGGACGGGUGAGUAAUGCCUAGGAAUCUGCCUUGUAGUGGGGGAUAACGUCCGUAAACGGGCGCUAAUACCGCAUCCGUCCUGAUGGAGAAAGUGGGGGAUCUUCGGACCUCACGCUAUCAGAUGAGCCUAGGUCGGAUUAGCUAGUUGGUGGGGUUAAGGCCUACCAAGGCGACGAUCCGUAACUGGUCUGAGAGGAUGAUCAGUCACACUGGAACUGAGACACGGUCCAGACUACUACGGGAGGCAGCAGUGGAGAAUAGUGGACAAUGGGCGAAAGGCUGAUCCAGCCAUGCCGCGUGUGUGAAGAAGGUCUUCGGAUUGUAAAGCACUUUAAGUUGGGAGGAAGGGCAGUAAGUCAAUACCUUGCUGUUUUGACGUUACCAACAGAAUAAGCACCGGCUAACUUC
This 481-nucleotide ribosomal RNA is filed under the name uncultured bacterium. Its description in RNAcentral is "partial 16S ribosomal RNA". It matches the Rfam family "Bacterial small subunit ribosomal RNA", at positions 30 to 504 of the family's 1533-position model. The record is from RNAcentral.